This 1008-nucleotide ribosomal RNA is filed under the name Salmonella enterica. RNAcentral's name for it is "partial 23S ribosomal RNA". It matches the Rfam family "Bacterial large subunit ribosomal RNA", at positions 566 to 1554 of the family's 2925-position model. Lineage: Bacteria; Pseudomonadati; Pseudomonadota; Gammaproteobacteria; Enterobacterales; Enterobacteriaceae. The record is from RNAcentral.
CGUUUGCGACGCCCAACACACAAAACAAGCGGUGAGUGCUUUGGGGUGGGGUGACUGCGUACCUUUUGUAUAAUGGGUCAGCGACUUAUAUUCUGUAGCAAGGUUAACCGUAUAGGGGAGCCGAAGGGAAACCGAGUCUUAACUGGGCGUUAAGUUGCAGGGUAUAGACCCGAAACCCGGUGAUCUAGCCAUGGGCAGGUUGAAGGUUGGGUAACACUAACUGGAGGACCGAACCGACUAAUGUUGAAAAAUUAGCGGAUGACUUGUGGCUGGGGGUGAAAGGCCAAUCAAACCGGGAGAUAGCUGGUUCUCCCCGAAAGCUAUUUAGGUAGCGCCUCGUGAACUCAUCUUCGGGGGUAGAGCACUGUUUCGGCUAGGGGGUCAUCCCGACUUACCAACCCGAUGCAAACUGCGAAUACCGAAGAAUGUUAUCACGGGAGACACACGGCGGGUGCUAACGUCCGUCGUGAAGAGGGAAACAACCCAGACCGCCAGCUAAGGUCCCAAAGUCACAGUUAAGUGGGAAACGAUGUGGGAAGGCUCAGACAGCCAGGAUGUUGGCUUAGAAGCAGCCAUCAUUUAAAGAAAGCGUAAUAGCUCACUGGUCGAGUCGGCCUGCGCGGAAGAUGUAACGGGGCUAAACUGUGCACCGAAGCUGCGGCAGCGACGCUUAUGCGUUGUUGGGUAGGGGAGCGUUCUGUAAGCCUGCGAAGGUGUCCUGUGAGGGAUGCUGGAGGUAUCAGAAGUGCGAAUGCUGACAUAAGUAACGAUAAUGCGGGUGAAAAGCCCGCUCGCCGGAAGACCAAGGGUUCCUGUCCAACGUUAAUCGGGGCAGGGUGAGUCGACCCCUAAGGCGAGGCCGAAAGGCGUAGUCGAUGGGAAACGGGUUAAUAUUCCCGUACUUGGUGUUACUGCGAAGGGGGGACGGAGAAGGCUAUGUUGGCCGGGCGACGGUUGUCCCGGUUUAAGCGUGUAGGCUGGUUUUCCAGGCAAAUCCGGAAAAUCAAG